AGGAUUAACGCUGGCGGCGUGCCUAACACAUGCAAGUCGAACGAGGUAGCAAUACCUAGUGGCAGACGGGUGAGUAGCGCGUGGUCAACCUACCGUUGAGUGGGGGAUAACUAGCCGAAAGGUUAGCUAAAUACCGCAUACGUCUCCGAGGGGCAUCCCUUGGUGAUAAAAGGAGCAAUCCGCUCGAUGACGGGACCGCGUCCCAUUAGCUAGUUGGUGGGGUAACGGCCUACCAAGGCAUCGAUGGGUAGCUGGUUUGAGAGAGCGACCAGCCACACUGGGACUGAGAUACGGCCCAGACUCCUACGGGAGGCAGCAGUGAGGAAUUUUCCGCAAUGGGCGAAAGCCUGACGGAGCGACGCCGCGUGUGGGAAGAAGGCCUUCGGGUCGUAAACCACUGUCGAAGGGGAAGAGUAAUGACGGUACCCUUGGAGGAAGCCCCGGCUAACUACGCGCCAGCAGCCGC
Molecule: ribosomal RNA, 466 nt
Filed under: uncultured bacterium
Lineage: Bacteria
Description: SSU rRNA
Rfam family: Bacterial small subunit ribosomal RNA
Source: RNAcentral